CCCGCGCUUGCUCCUUACCCCCGCAUGCGGUUUCCCUUGUGUAAACGUCGUCUCUGCGCGUCGCUUGCGGUCUCAUCGCCUUCAGGUGUGUGAUGGGGGGGAGUGACGCCACUCUGCAUUAGAGCAGCACGCGUUGCGUGUGUUUGCAGCAGUAGAAGGAAACAUGGACCGACUUGCAGGAAGUUUCCUGAGCAACGGCGACGUCGCCAACGCCUCGUCCCUGUACAACUCAUUAGAAAAGCUGAACCCAACCAGGUACAGUCGCAUGGCACGCAUCUGCCGUGUGCUCCUCAACCCGCAAGGGGUGCCGCUGCCGCAUCGCCAUCGCGACAUCUGCGAAGCGCUUCUAGAUCCUCUCGUGCCGCCAGAAGUGCUCCUUCGCGACUCUGCGGAGAAUGUGCAGAAGUCGUUUCAACGCCUGGCCGUAUGCGCGCAUCCCGACAAGAACCCAAACCCGAGCGCCAACGAAGCUUUUCUUAGACUAACAAUGAUGAAGGACAAGGCGCUGGAGCUGCUGCGCGAUGGGGUGGAGCGAAAGUGCGAUGGAGCAACUGAGGCCCCUCCUGGCAAGGCGGCAGCCUCGAAUGGACGCAAGGGCAAGCCCAAGAUGCAGAAUUCUGGCCCUGCGGCGCCCACCGUAGCUCACAGACGGCGGCCGUUGAGACCGGGGGUUCCUCUACCCGAAGCCGCCGCUGCAGUUACUUCCGACACCACCGCCGCCGCGGUCUCCUCCAAGAUCUCCCAACUGCGAAGGACCAAAAUCACGCUGAACGCCCUGAAGCGAAAGGAUAUCGCGGAUGAUUUCGAAAUCUUCAGCGCCACGCAGCGCACCACGGCGGUGCAGUCGGAGGUGAGUCACAGCGACGUGGAGGAGGAUAACCUCGCCACCACAGUGCCGGUAAUGUCCACGAAGGAGAGAGCGCGGCGCGCGAAUCGUGGGCGAUCGCAGUCCAGCGCUCCACAGGAGAGGACGAAGACUCUGCCUCGUGCGUCGUCGCCCAACACGAACCCAUUGCUGUCCAGCAGCCUCUAUGACGCGAUGCCGGUGCCCCCACACAAGCCGCUGUCCCCAUCGCCUCAGACGUUAGAAGAUCCCACCGGGAGUGUCAAGAGCAGCGGUGCUGGUGAUCGCGAUGCGUCAGCCCUCUACUCACCAUCCAUCCCUACCGCCGCCAUCUCCGCUGACAGUGAUGCGAUCCGGCGGCAGAUUGAUGAAGCAUGUCUUCGUUUGCGAGAGAUGCGCCUGCAGCACACCACGGUGCACCUCGAUCUCGACCUUAGCUUUGAAGCGUACGAGCGCAGCAAGCAGCCACAGUGAGCGGAUAUGUUACGCCGGCUCGAUUUUCUCAGUCGCGUGUACUCGGGGGGGACGUAGAGGUGACAACUAGAUCGCAACGGUUGUAGCUAUAAGUAUGCGUGAGACUGCCUCAGAGCAGGCGAUAUGGAAGACUUAUGGCGAUGGAGGGCCGCAGGAGAUGCAGAGGGCACACGGGUACCUUCUUGAUGUAAGUAGCCUUCCUUUUUCUCUCACGAGAAGAGAGCAGACAACAACAAAGAGAGAGAUCACCGGCACAACCGAACACACCAAUUACUUAACAGUCAAACACGUGCGGUCAUGUAUCCUGUGAAACCUCAUGGAAAGAGAGCAGGGAUAACGAUGGCAACGACUAGCUACACCCGCACACACACACACACACACACACACACACACACACACACACGAGAGAAGCAGCCUCAUGUUAUGCAUUCGAGAAUAUAUAUAUAUGCAUUUAUGUAUAGAUGUAUGCAUAUGUAUGUAUAUACUUAUGUUCGGCUCCUCAGCUCUCUCUCUCUCUCCUUUACUGCUCUCGUGUUCAUGUUCGCUCACACGCACACGCCUGGUGUGAGUGUGCAUGGGGCAUGCUGCUCUGUUGUUUUUAUCUGAUAUCUUGCUUUCCCCACUGAUGGCUGGCGUCUACCUUCGCCACUCACAGCGUCUGUCGGUGGGCAGGGGGGUUGCAACGGAAGAGAGGAGUAGGCGAAUUCGGGGCGUCGAGAGGGGCAGUGGCGAAUUCGCUCCAUCCUUCGCUCCCGCCGCUUCCAAGGCGCAUUCCUCAUAAACUCUCAUUCAUUCGCCUUGAAAAGGUCACCUUUGCUCCACAGUGUGCUAAC
RNAcentral lists this unclassified non-coding RNA (2151 nucleotides) under Leishmania donovani. RNAcentral describes it as "gene:LdHU3.14.0110(CDS-product:DnaJ_domain_contai ning_protein_putative)". The record is from RNAcentral. Lineage: Eukaryota; Euglenozoa; Kinetoplastea; Trypanosomatida; Trypanosomatidae.